AGCUUUAUAUUCAAUAUAUGAUAUUAAAUUGCAAAUUUAAAGGAAUAAAUUAUUUUUAUUAAGGCUU
This 67-nucleotide transfer RNA is filed under the name Astrotischeria sp. MJT-2014. RNAcentral describes it as "tRNA-Cys". Lineage: Eukaryota; Metazoa; Arthropoda; Insecta; Lepidoptera; Tischeriidae. The record is from RNAcentral.